This 74-nucleotide transfer RNA is filed under the name Actinomycetota bacterium. RNAcentral's name for it is "tRNA-Leu". It matches the Rfam family "tRNA". From Rfam's summary of the family: Transfer RNA (tRNA) molecules are approximately 80 nucleotides in length. Their secondary structure includes four short double-helical elements and three loops (D, anti-codon, and T loops). Lineage: Bacteria; Bacillati; Actinomycetota. The record is from RNAcentral.
GCCCCCGUAGCCCAAUGGCAGAGGCCAUCGCCUUAAAAGUGAUGUCAGUGUCGGUUCGAGUCCGACCGGGGGCA